AUUGAACGCUGGCGGCAUGCUUUACACAUGCAAGUCGAGCGGCAGCGCGGGGGCAACCCUGGCGGCGAGCGGCGAACGGGUGAGUAAUGCAUCGGAACGUAUCCUCGAGUGGGGGAUAACCCAGCGAAAGUUGGGCUAAUACCGCAUGAGCUCUGAGGAGGAAAGCGGGGACCCGCGAGGGGCUCGGGGCGGGGGGGGGGGCGAUGUCCGAUUAGCUAGUUGGUGGGGUAAAGGCUUACCAAGGCGACGAUCGGUAGCUGGUCUGGGAGGAUGAUCAGCCACACUGGGACUGAGACACGGCCCAGACUCCUACGGGAGGCAGCAGUGGGGAAUUUUGGACAAUGGGGGCAACCCUGAUCCAGCCAUGCCGCGUGAGUGAAGAAGGCCUUCGGGUUGUAAAGCUCUUUCGGACGGAACGAAAUGGGCGGGACUAAUACUCCUGUCUGAUGACGGUACCGUAAGAAGAAGCACCGGCUAACUACGUG
Molecule: ribosomal RNA, 485 nt
Filed under: uncultured bacterium
Lineage: Bacteria
Description: partial 16S ribosomal RNA
Rfam family: Bacterial small subunit ribosomal RNA
Source: RNAcentral